Molecule: ribosomal RNA, 512 nt
Filed under: uncultured bacterium
Lineage: Bacteria
Description: partial 16S ribosomal RNA
Rfam family: Bacterial small subunit ribosomal RNA
Source: RNAcentral
GACGAACGCUGGCGGCGUGCCUAAUACAUGCAAGUCGAGCGGAUGGAAGGAAGCUUGCUUCCUAAAGUCAGCGGCGGACGGGUGAGUAACACGUGGGCAACCUGCCCCUAAGAUCGGGAUAACUUCGGGAAACCGGAGCUAAUACCGGAUCUGAUUAUGUCUCACAUGAGACAUAAUGGAAAGACGGUUUCGGCUGUCACUUAGGGAUGGGCCCGGGGCGCAUUAGCUAGUUGGUGAGGUAACGGCUCACCAAGGCGACGAUGCGUAGCCGACCUGAGAGGGUGAUCGGCCACACUGGGACUGAGACACGGCCCAGACUCCUACGGGAGGCAGCAGUAGGGAAUCUUCCGCAAUGGACGAAAGUCUGACGGAGCAACGCCGCGUGAGUGAAGAAGGUUUUCGGAUCGUAAAACUCUGUUGUUAGGGAAGAACAAGUACCAUAGUAACUGAUGGUACCUUGACGGUACCUAACCAGAAAGCCACGGCUAACUACGUGCCAGCCGCCGCGGUAA